UACGGAGGGUGCAAGCGUUAUCCGGAUUCACUGGGUUUAAAGGGUGCGUAGGAGGGCAGGUAAGUCAGUGGUGAAAUCUCCAAGCUUAACUUGGAAACUGCCGUUGAUACUAUCUGUCUUGAAUAUUGUGGAGGUGAGCGGAAUAUGUCAUGUAGCAGUGAAAUGCUUAGAUAUGACAUAGAACACCAAUUGCGAAGGCAGCUCACUACACAAUCAUUGACUCUGAGGCACGAAAGCGUGGGGAUCAAACAGG
This 253-nucleotide ribosomal RNA is filed under the name uncultured bacterium. RNAcentral's name for it is "partial 16S ribosomal RNA". It matches the Rfam family "Bacterial small subunit ribosomal RNA", at positions 524 to 776 of the family's 1533-position model. The record is from RNAcentral.